Molecule: ribosomal RNA, 958 nt
Filed under: uncultured archaeon
Lineage: Archaea
Description: bacterial SSU rRNA
Rfam family: Archaeal small subunit ribosomal RNA
Source: RNAcentral
GCAGGCUAAGCCAUGCGAGUCAUUGUAGCAAUACAAGGCAGACGGCUCAGUAACGCGUAGUCAAUCUACCCUAUGGACGGGAAUAACCUCGGGAAACUGAGAAUAAUGCCCGAUAGAACAUUAUGCCUGGAAUGGUUUAUGUUUCAAAUGAUUUAUCGCCAUAGGAUGGGACUGCGGUCUAUCAGUUUGUUGGUGAGGUAAUGGCCCACCAAGACUAUUACAGGUACGGGCUCUGAGAGGAGUAGCCCGGAGAUGGGUACUGAGACACGGACCCAGGCCCUAUGGGGCGCAGCAGGCGAGAAAACUUUGCAAUGUGCGAAAGCACGACAAGGUUAAUCCGAGUGGUUUCUGCUAAAGAAACCUUUUGUCAGUCCUAGAAACACUGACGAAUAAGGGGUGGGCAAGUUCUGGUGUCAGCCGCCGCGGUAAAACCAGCACCUCAAGUGGUCAGGAUGAUUAUUGGGCCUAAAGCAUCCGUAGCUCGUUUUGUAAGUUUUCGGUUAAAUCCAUGCGCUUAACGUAUGGGCUGCCGGGAAUACUGCAUAACUAGGAAGUGGGAGAGGUAGACGGUACUCGGUAGGAAGGGGUAAAAUCCUUUGGUCUAUUGAUGACCACCUGUGGCGAAGGCGGUCUACCAGAACACGUUCGACGGUGAGGGAUGAAAGCUGGGGGAGCAAACCGGAUUAGAUACCCGGGUAGUCCCAGCUGUAAACUAUGCAAACUCAGUGAUGCAUUGGCUUGUGGCCAAUGCAGUGCUGCAGGGAAGCCGUUAAGUUUGCCGCCUGGGAAGUACGUACGCAAGUAUGAAACUUAAAGGAAUUGGCGGGGGAGCACCACAAGGGGUGAAGCCUGCGGUUCAAUUGGAGUCAACGCCAGAAAUCUUACCCGGAGAGACAGCAGAAUGAAGGUCAAGCUGAAGACUUUACCAGACAAGCUGAGAGGAGGUGCAUGGCCACAC